CAGGCCUAACACAUGCAAGUUCGAACGGGAAAAUCCCCGCAAGGGGAUGAGUAUAGUGGCGACCGGGUGAGUAACACGUGACUACCUGCCCUUGAGUGGGGGAUAACAUCGGGAAACCGAUGCUAAUACCGCAUAACAUCGCAAGAUCAAAGCAGCAAUGCGCUUAAAGAGGGGGUCGCGGCUGAUUAGCUAGUUGGCGGGGUAACGGCCCACCAAGGCGAAGAUCGGUAUCCGGCCUGAGAGGGCGCACGGACACACUGGAACUGAAACACGGUCCAGACUCCUACGGGAGGCAGCAGUGGGGAAUUUUGCGCAAUGGGGGAAACCCUGACGCAGCAACGCCGCGUGGAGGAUGAAGUCCCUUGGGACGUAAACUCCUUUCGACCAAGACGAUAAUGACGGUACUGGUGGAAGAAGCACCGGCUAACUCUGUGCCAGCAGCCGCGGUAAUACA
RNAcentral lists this ribosomal RNA (454 nucleotides) under uncultured Acidobacteriota bacterium. RNAcentral describes it as "bacterial SSU rRNA". It matches the Rfam family "Bacterial small subunit ribosomal RNA", at positions 43 to 527 of the family's 1533-position model. Lineage: Bacteria; Pseudomonadati; Acidobacteriota. The record is from RNAcentral.